AGUGAACGCUGGCGGUAGGCCUAACACAUGCAAGUCGAACGGCAGCACAGAGGAGCUUGCUCCUUGGGUGGCGAGUGGCGGACGGGUGAGGAAUACAUCGGAAUCUACUCUGUCGUGGGGGAUAACGUAGGGAAACUUACGCUAAUACCGCAUACGACCUACGGGUGAAAGCAGGGGAUCUUCGGACCUUGCGUGAUUGAAUGAGCCGAUGUCGGAUUAGCUAGUUGGCGGGGUAAAGGCCCACCAAGGCGACGAUCCGUAGCUGGUCUGAGAGGAUGAUCAGCCACACUGGAACUGAGACACGGUCCAGACUCCUACGGGAGGCAGCAGUGGGGAAUAUUGGACAAUGGGCGCAAGCCUGAUCCAGCCAUACCGCGUGCGUGAAGAAGGCCUUCGGGUUGUAAAGCCCUUUUGUUGGGAAAGAAAUCCAUCUGGUUAAUACCCGGAUGGGAUGACGGUACCCAAAGAAUAAGCACCGGCUAACUUCGUGCCAGCCGCCGCGGUAA
This 506-nucleotide ribosomal RNA is filed under the name uncultured bacterium. RNAcentral describes it as "partial 16S ribosomal RNA". It matches the Rfam family "Bacterial small subunit ribosomal RNA", at positions 29 to 523 of the family's 1533-position model. The record is from RNAcentral.